Molecule: non-coding RNA, 229 nt
Organism: Serratia sp. M24T3
Lineage: Bacteria; Pseudomonadati; Pseudomonadota; Gammaproteobacteria; Enterobacterales; Yersiniaceae
Source: Rfam
AUCGUAGGAUUCAUCCUAGGCCUCCACUAUUGAGUUAAAAGGGAAUCCGGUGUGAAUCCGGAGCUGUCGCGCAGCGGUAUGGGGAAAGCAAGGCGAGUGCAUUAAUAUUAUUCUGCAAAACAAAAAUGCAAACACUGUCCUUAAUAAGGAUGGGAAGUUAUCGCCGGGUGUUAAUUCUGUUAAAUAACAAAUCCCAAGCCCGAAGACCUGCCUGAAUUACGUCGCAAUA